UGCUGCUUGAUCAUGCUAGAUCGAGACCUUUUCUUUUAAAUCGGGAGUAUUCACCGUUUCAUAGGAAGGAGACGAAGCGAUUAUUUAGUUCUAUGGAUUUUCUUCGUAAUUUCUUACUAAUUGUGCAACUAUAGUUGUUACUAGUGAUCAGACUGUGCCUGAAUUGAAAGUAACGCAUAGUAGCCUUCCGUGUCUUCCAGACUUGGACAGUGUUAGGAUGCUAAAUGAGAUUCUAGUUAAUGCAAUUUUUCGAGACAGUGGUCUAAGUUCAUUAACUUGGUGAAGUUUUGAGGGGAUUGCUUUCGGUGGCUUAUAGAUCAAUAUGCCAAAAUAUAAUAAUAAUUAUAGUCAUAGUUUUAUUGUAGAUCAGAAAAGUUCUGCUUCUUGUAUUUUGAAGGAGAUAUGUGGUUUUGUCUGAGCAAUUUGGUUUUAAUUUUCACUUAGGUGCCUAUGAUUCGUUGCAGAAGAAGUACCUGAAGACGCUUAUGUUCCGUAUUUGUGAGGAGACGUCAGGUCCGAUGAUCGACCAGUAUACUCGAGCUCUGCUGGCAAGAUGAUUCUGAUGAGACCUUUGGAUCAAACGCCUGAGGAGGGUAAGCGUGAUGGCGGUCACUCGUUUGUUUUACUUCAAAAUAAAAAGCUGAAGUGGCUGGUUUCUAUGUUUCGGCGCACCAUUUUGAUGAAGCUCCUUUACCAUGAUGAUGUCACGGUUACAUCAUCCAAGAUGCAAUAUUGAGGCUUCAUGAGGACAAUAAUUCCACGUGAAGCGGCAAUUCUUGUUGCAGAUAGGUGCGAUAGGCACUUGAAACAUGGCGGUCUUUCGGACGUGGCACGGACUCCAGUGGCACAUAUGGGACUACUCGAACACGAGGAAAAGAUAUAGAAAUCAUCUUGCAAUUUCGGGAUCCUAUGUCCGGCUGCGAAUCCGUCCGUCGCUUCUAACUCGAGCAGUCACAUCUGUAAGCUGCAUUGCAGCUUUUGUUUCAUGCUUCGCCAUGGUCGGUAGUCCAAGCAAGAUAUGCAAGAUCUACAUAAAUGAACCUGCGUGUGAAUUACCUUGAAGCACAACACUACAAUAAUUGUUGGGAAGGUCCACAACUAUUCAAUGACCACUCACGUAACUCACUGCAUGGGUUGAACUGGUGAAUGCGCAGGUAUCAAAAGUCCCUUGCUUUUCUUAAUUUAAAAUUUCUUCAGGAAGUACACCUUCAUUAUUCCAUGGCUUAAGACAAACAUAAGAGGACCACAAGAACUUUCACUAAUCUUGUUCCUUCAUCAUUAGAGAUCGUGUAAUGUACUCUGGACCCUGUAAGUACAUUUCAACCCUACCAAAUCAUUGAUCGUUCUCUUUUUAUAAUCCGAUUGCCUUCAGUGUCGUGCGAAGUUUCCACUCGUAUGUCUGGGACUGACAAUCCACCCUAUCAUGAUCAGCGCAGGAUUUGUUUAGUGAAAGCUGGAUGCCCGUGGGUUUUGCUGUCUAUUACCAUCAUCAGAGAUGAACCAAGACAUUUUACAGUGGUCCAGUUGCUACGACUUGUAGUUUGGAAUACUCCAGGCAAAGAUUCUAGAUGUGCUUUUUCUCUCCUACUUCAUCCUGUCUCGAGUUUAGUUUCAACUGUGUCUGGGGUCUCAGGGUCCACAAGAUAGAAUGAGCUCCAAAUCAGCUGGGAAGAAUGAAGGUUUGUGUAUUUGGAACUUACUUUUCCGGAUAUUUUUUUUAUUCUGCAUGGAUAGUGCGCAGGCUUUUGCGUAUGCAUAUCAAUCUGCAUGACGAAACUACAUUUUUGAGCCUUUCAUUAUAUGAACUUAAAGUGAAAGAACAAUAUAUCAUUAGAUUUCAAGUGUAUAAUCAUAUAGUUCUUCUCAUGAUCCUGUCUUUUUCUUUUCCAAACGUUUCUGUCAUCUGUUGUGCUCUUUUGUUUAAAAAUGAAUAAAAAGGGUCAGCUAAUUCUUUUAUGUAAUAGAUUCUUAAAGUUGGCAUCUAUCAU
This is a long non-coding RNA of Musa acuminata AAA Group (dessert banana), 1988 nucleotides long. RefSeq lists it as uncharacterized. The record is from RefSeq and is a predicted model, not a curated record. The transcript has 7 exons. NCBI's taxonomy places the organism in Eukaryota, Viridiplantae, Streptophyta, Magnoliopsida, Zingiberales, Musaceae.